RNAcentral lists this ribosomal RNA (825 nucleotides) under uncultured archaeon. Its description in RNAcentral is "bacterial SSU rRNA". It matches the Rfam family "Archaeal small subunit ribosomal RNA", at positions 1 to 777 of the family's 1478-position model. The record is from RNAcentral.
UUCCGGUUGAUCCUGCCGGAGGGUACUGCUAUCAGAAUACGGCUAAGCCAUGCAAGUCAGUUCAGCCACUUGGUUGGACGGCGUACGGCUCAGUAACAUGUAGUCAAUCUGCCCUUGGGACGGGGAUAUCCUCGGGAAACUGAGGUCAAUACCCGAUUGCCCAUCUAUGCUGGAAUGCUUGAUGGGUUAAACGCGCAGCGAAUUGGAGUUGUUGCGCCCAAGGAUGAGACUGCACCUGAUUAGGUAGUUGGUGAGGUAACUGCUCACCAAGCCGAUAAUCAGUAGGGGCAAUGGGAGUUGGAGCCCCGAGAAGGGCACUGAGACAAGGGCCCUAGUCCUACGGGAUGCAGCAGGCGCGAAACCUUUGCAAUGCGCGCAAGCGUGACAGGGGAAUUCUGAGUGGUAGAGGGAUAUAUCUCUCUAUCUUUUGGCAACUGCAAAUAGGUUGCAGAAUAAGAUCUGGGUAAGACUAGUGCCAGCCGCCAUAUGCUUUAUCGCAUAAGGCACACGGUACGCGGUAAUACUAGCAGAUCGAGUGGUACCCACGAAUAUUGGGUCUAAAGAGUCCGUAGCUGGCCUGUUAAGUCCGCUGUGAAAUCUUGGGGCUUGACCUCAAGGCGUGCAGUGGAUACUGGCAGGCUCGAGAGCGGGGGAGGUUGGGAGUACUUAUGGGGUAGUGGUAAAAUACGUUGAUCCUAUAAGGACUACCAGUGGCGAAAGCGCCCAACCAAAACGCGUCUGACAGUGAGGGACGAAGCUAGGAGAACGAAUCGGAUUAGAUACCCGAGUAGCCCUAGCAGUAAAUUAUGCGGACUGUGGUGUUGC